Molecule: ribosomal RNA, 76 nt
Filed under: Klebsiella oxytoca
Lineage: Bacteria; Pseudomonadati; Pseudomonadota; Gammaproteobacteria; Enterobacterales; Enterobacteriaceae
Source: RNAcentral
UGGCGGCACUAGCGCGGUGGUCCCACCUGACCCCAUGCCGAACUCAGAAGUGAAACGCCGUAGCGCCGAUGGUAGU